CUUGGUCAUUUAGAGGAAGUAAAAGUCGUAACAAGGUUUCCGUAGGUGAACCUGCGGAAGGAUCAUUAUCGAAAUUAUUGGUGAGGGUUGUAGCUGGCCUUUCGAGGCAUGUGCACGCUCGAGCCCUUAAUCCACUUUACACCUGUGCACUUAAUGUAGGUCGCCCUUAAAAAAGGUGACCUAUGUCUUAUCAUCAACCCAUCGUAUGUCUCAUAGAAUGUAAUCGAUAUCCUCGCCCUAAAAAAGCGUUGAUAAACUUAUACAACUUUCGACAACGGAUCUCUUGGCUCUCGCAUCGAUGAAGAACGCAGCGAAAUGCGAUAAGUAAUGUGAAUUGCAGAUUUUCAGUGAAUCAUCGAAUCUUUGAACGCACCUUGCGCUCCUUGGUAUUCCGAGGAGCAUGCCUGUUUGAGUGUCAUUAAAUUCUCAACUCCAAGGGUUUCACGACCUUUCGGAGAUUGGACUUGGAGGUGCUGGCCGCAUAUUGGUCGGCUCCUCUCAAAUGCAUCAGCGGAAUUCAACCUUUGGCUUCCGGAUGUCAGUGUGAUAAUCAUGUUGCGCUGUCGUUUGAUCCCUCAGAGUCCGCUUAUAAUGGUCUUCGGACAAAAUCAUCAUCAAAUUUGACCUCAAAUCAGGUAGGACUACCCGCUGAACUUAAGCAUAUCAAUAAGCGGAGGA
This 678-nucleotide ribosomal RNA is filed under the name uncultured fungus. Its description in RNAcentral is "eukaryotic LSU rRNA". The stretch from base 264 to 418 matches the Rfam family "5.8S ribosomal RNA". The record is from RNAcentral. Lineage: Eukaryota; Fungi.